Molecule: ribosomal RNA, 434 nt
Filed under: uncultured bacterium
Lineage: Bacteria
Description: partial 16S ribosomal RNA
Rfam family: Bacterial small subunit ribosomal RNA
Source: RNAcentral
AGCGAACGCUGGCGGCAGGCCUAACACAUGCAAGUCGAACGAACCUUUCGGGGUUAGUGGCGGACGGGUGAGUAACACGUGGGAACGUGCCUUUAGGUUCGGAAUAACUCAGGGAAACUUGUGCUAAUACCGAAUGUGCCCUUCGGGGGAAAGAUUAAUCGCCUUUAGAGCGGCCCGCGUCUGAUUAGCUAGUUGGUUGAGGUAAUGGCUCACCAAUGCGACGAUCAGUAGCUGGUCUGAGAGGAUGAUCAGCCACAUUGGGACUGAGACACGGCCCAAACUCCUACGGGAGGCAGCAGUGGGGAAUCUUGCGCAAUGGGCGAAAGCCUGACGCAGCCAUGCCGCGUGAAUGAUGAAGGUCUUAGGAUUGUAAAAUUCUUUCACCGGGGACGAUAAUGACGGUACCCGGAGAAGAAGCCCCGGCUAACUUCGUG